This 253-nucleotide ribosomal RNA is filed under the name uncultured bacterium. RNAcentral's name for it is "partial 16S ribosomal RNA". It matches the Rfam family "Bacterial small subunit ribosomal RNA", at positions 524 to 776 of the family's 1533-position model. The record is from RNAcentral.
UACGGGGGGGGCAAGCGUUGUUCGGAAUUACUGGGCGUAAAGGGCUCGUAGGUGGCCAACUAAGUCAUACGUGAAAUCCCUCGGCUUAACCGGGGAACUGCGUCUGAUACUGGAUGGCUCGAGUUUGGGAGAGGGAUGCGGAAUUCCAGGUGUAGCGGUGAAAUGCGUAGAUAUCAAGAGGAACACCUGAGGUGAAGACGGGUUGCUGGGCCAACACUGACGCUGAGGCGCGAAAGCCAGGGGAGCAAACGGG